GUAGGGUUCAAGCGUUAUCCGGAUUUAUUGGGCGUAAAGCACAUGUAGGUGGAUUGAUACGUCUUGGCUUAAAGCUCUGGGCUCAACCCAGAAUCUGGCUGAGAUACGGUCUUUCUUGUGGUCAGCAGGGGCAAACGGAAUUCCCGGUGUAGGAGUGAAAUCCGUUGAUAUCGGGAGGAACACCAAUGGCGAAGGCAGUUUGCUAGGCUGAUUCAGACACUGAGAUGUGAAAGCGUGGGGAGCGAACGGGAUUAGAUACCCCGGUAGUCCACGCCGUAAACGAUGCACACUAGGCAUUGGGAGUAUCGACCCUUCUUGUGCCGAAGCUAACGCGUUAAGUGUGCCGCCUGGGAAGUACGGUCGCAAGACUA
RNAcentral lists this ribosomal RNA (371 nucleotides) under uncultured bacterium. RNAcentral's name for it is "bacterial SSU rRNA". It matches the Rfam family "Bacterial small subunit ribosomal RNA", at positions 527 to 896 of the family's 1533-position model. The record is from RNAcentral.